Molecule: small RNA, 671 nt
Filed under: Histoplasma capsulatum
Lineage: Eukaryota; Fungi; Ascomycota; Eurotiomycetes; Onygenales; Ajellomycetaceae
Also listed under: 1 other name
Description: hypothetical RNA
Source: RNAcentral
AGAUCUUGUAAAUUCUAUUAUCUUUGCGUUUGUCAGGUUCUAUAUAUAUAUAUUUACAAAAGGAAGGAUGUCGUUACACCGGGUUUGAUGUUAUUGUUUCUUCCCUUUUGUGUUGUUUAUCGUUCAACUAACUACAGGUAGUUAUAGGUGGGUUGGGUUACGGUGUGUUCGAACCUGACCCUCACAAUAACCAGGUUAUAUGCGGAGGUGCAGUCACUCAGCCAUCAACAUCACUGCAUAUAACCUGAUUAUUGCUGGUGUGUGUUCAAUUUCAUGUUCAUACAUACAGAAUACUUGUAUUUAGUAAGAGAAAUACUAUUAAAUUCAGAUACAUGUGACUUUGCAUACAGAAAGUUAUAUAACCACUAGCUAAAUGAUCUGCUUGACUUCAUUUCUACUAAAGAGCUACUGAUUCCAGACACUGUGUAGAAGUGCAAGUCAACUGCCUGAGUAUUGUACACAGCUCAUACAACUAGACCUAACUCUAUAAUAAUAAUAUAUAUACAUCUAUAAUAAUAAUGGAGAAAUGGAGAUUAGACUGGCCGUGUGACCAUGCAUGGGACUGGGACCAAAUUUUUCCUCAGUCCCAUUAUUAGAUAUCUUAGUUCUGGUCCCAUAUAGUGUUUAGUAAAUUAGUCACUUUACACUGUUUAUAUUAUAAAUCUAGUCCC